CGUGGGUAACCUGCCCAAGAGACUGGGAUAACACCUGGAAACAGAUGCUAAUACCGGAUAACAACACUAGACGCAUGUCUAGAGUUUAAAAGAUGGUUCUGCUAUCACUCUUGGAUGGACCUGCGGUGCAUUAGCUAGUUGGUAAGGUAACGGCUUACCAAGGCAAUGAUGCAUAGCCGAGUUGAGAGACUGAUCGGCCACAUUGGGACUGAGACACGGCCCAAACUCCUACGGGAGGCAGCACU
RNAcentral lists this ribosomal RNA (245 nucleotides) under uncultured bacterium. RNAcentral describes it as "partial 16S ribosomal RNA". It matches the Rfam family "Bacterial small subunit ribosomal RNA", at positions 116 to 353 of the family's 1533-position model. The record is from RNAcentral.